UACGGGGGGGGCAAGCGUUGUUCGGAAUUACUGGGCGUAAAGGGCUCGUAGGCGGCCAACUAAGUCAGACGUGAAAUCCCUCGGCUUAACCGGGGAACGGCCUCUGAUACUGGAUGGCUUGAGUUCGGGAGAGGGAUGCGGAAUUCCAGGUGUAGCGGUGAAAUGCGUAGAUAUCUGGAGGAACACCGGUGGCGAAGGCGGCAUCCUGGACCGGUAUUGACGCUGAGGCGCGAAAGCCAGGGGAGCAAACGGG
RNAcentral lists this ribosomal RNA (253 nucleotides) under uncultured bacterium. RNAcentral describes it as "partial 16S ribosomal RNA". It matches the Rfam family "Bacterial small subunit ribosomal RNA", at positions 524 to 776 of the family's 1533-position model. The record is from RNAcentral.